This 253-nucleotide ribosomal RNA is filed under the name uncultured bacterium. RNAcentral describes it as "partial 16S ribosomal RNA". It matches the Rfam family "Bacterial small subunit ribosomal RNA", at positions 524 to 776 of the family's 1533-position model. The record is from RNAcentral.
UACGGAGGUGGCGAGCGUUGUCCGGAUUUACUGGGCGUAAAGGGCGUGCAGGCGGUUUGUUAAGUGCAGGGUGAAAGCUCCCGGCUCAACUGGGAGAGGUCCUUGCAUACUGGCGAACUCGAGGGAGGCAGAGGAAAGUGGAAUUCCCGGUGUAGUGGUGAUAUGCGUAGAUAUCGGGAGGAACACCUGUGGCGAAGGCGGCUUUCUGGGCCUUACCUGACGCUGAGACGCGAAAGCGUGGGGAGCGAACCGG